This 468-nucleotide ribosomal RNA is filed under the name uncultured bacterium. RNAcentral describes it as "partial 16S ribosomal RNA". It matches the Rfam family "Bacterial small subunit ribosomal RNA", at positions 28 to 507 of the family's 1533-position model. The record is from RNAcentral.
GACGAACGCUGGCGGCGUGCUUAACACAUGCAAGUCGAACGGAAAGGUCCUGACUUUGUGGGGUGCGCGGGUGGCGAACGGGUGAGUAACACGUGAGUAACCUGCCCUUGACUUAGGGAUAACUUCAGGAAACUGGGGCUAAUACCGGCUCGGAGCUCCUGCUGCCUGGUGGGGGUUGGAAGGAUUCGGCGGUUGGGUAUGGAAUCGCGGCUUAUCAGCUUGUUGGUGGGGUAGUGGCUUACCAAGGCUUUGACGGGUAGCCGGCCUGAGAGGAUGACCGGGCACAAUACUACUGUGUACAGGCUCACCCUACACGGCGCGGUAGCGGUCUAGAGUUUUAUCCUGUGUCCGGCUGCCUGUACCAGCAAAGUGGCGGGUGGUUUGACGGCAACCAACUCGUCCACCGCCUACGCCUUAGACGUUGCUAGAGUGACGGUACUGAGAAAUGAAGCCCCGCCUAACUUCGUU